Molecule: small RNA, 183 nt
Filed under: Arabidopsis thaliana (thale cress)
Lineage: Eukaryota; Viridiplantae; Streptophyta; Magnoliopsida; Brassicales; Brassicaceae
Description: ATSL027530
Source: RNAcentral
UUUAUUAAUAGAUAUAUCUUAUAUUUAGAAAAAUAGUCAUCAAACUAUAAAAUUACUACAUAUCUAUAUAUACAUUUUUGCAGCCAUUUUAGCAAAUAAAUCCUCUACUUGACACUUAUUUACAAUCUAAUGCCAUUAGCGUUAAAUCUUUUUUUCAAAAUAAUUAAUUUUACUUUAAAUUUU